UGACUGAUGAUCCCUUCUCGUCUUAACAUUGCUUAAAAAGCUGUAUAAAAUCAUGUGAGCACUAUGAUGCUCACAUCAUAGUCAUACAUAUGUCA
Struthio camelus australis is the source of this 95-nucleotide small nucleolar RNA. Its record names the gene SNORD116. It matches the Rfam family "Small nucleolar RNA SNORD116". From Rfam's summary of the family: HBII-85 is a member of the C/D class of snoRNAs, which contain the C (UGAUGA) and D (CUGA) box motifs. HBII-85 is encoded in a tandemly repeated array with another C/D snoRNA, HBII-52, in the Prader-Willi syndrome (PWS) region of chromosome 15. Unlike most other snoRNAs, HBII-85 is expressed prevalently in the brain (but is absent in PWS patients) and lacks any significant complementarity with ribosomal RNA. The record is from Ensembl. Lineage: Eukaryota; Metazoa; Chordata; Aves; Struthioniformes; Struthionidae.